UACAAACAAAACCAAUACAACCAAAACUAGAAGGAAAGCAAAAAAUUGGGGAAAAUCUUUAUAACAAAAACCUCUGACAAAGGUCUAAUUUCUCAAAUGUAUAAGGAGCUAAAUCAAUUGUACAAAAAAUCAAGCCAUUUCCCAAUUGAUAAAUGGUCAAGGGAUGUGAAUAGGCAGUUUUCAGAUAAAGAAAUCAAAACUAUCAAUAAGCACAUGAAAAAGUAUUCUAAAUCUCUCAUAAUUAGAGAAAUGCAAAUCAAAACAACUCUGAGGUACCAUCUCACACCUAGCAGAUUGGCCAAUAUGAAAGAAAAGUAAUAAAUGUUGGAGGGGAUGUGGCAAAAUAAGAACAUUAAUGCAUUGCUGGUGGAGUUGUAAAUUCAUCUAACCAUUCUGGAAAGCAAUUUGGAACUAUGCCCAAAGGACAUUAAAAGUCUUGCUACCCUUUGAUCCAGCCAUACAGAGAUAAUAGGAAAAAAUACGUGUUCAAAAAUAUUCAUAGCUGUGCUCUUUGUGGUGGCAAAAAAACUGGAAAAUGAGGGGAUGCCCUUCCAUUGGGGGAUGGCUGAACAAAUUGUGAUAUCAAAUGGUGAUGGAAUACUAUUGUGCUAAAAGGAAUAAUGAACUACAGGAAUUCCAUGUGAACUGGAAUUCCUCCAGGUAUUGAUGCAGAGUGAAGGGAGCAGAACCAGGAGAACACAAUCAAAUGUAAUUGACCUCUCUACUAGCAGCAAUGCAAUGAUCCAUGACAAUUCUGAGGUCUCAAGACUAGUCCACGAUGUCUCCUAUUCCUACUAAUCUUCCAAGAACCUCUGAAUGAAAAAGUCCUGUGUUUAUACACAGGGGUUUAAUUUCUGCAGCACUUCUACCUUGCCAAUUAGCCCAGAUCCAGCAAUUAUUGAUCUCCACCUGCUCCUAUCUCCACUCAGAUCAAUAUUCCUUUCUGGUUCACAACCUCACCAACCAUCUCAGUUUUACUUCCUUCCGGGUGUUGAAGGUGGGAGGAGUGUUGGCUUCCCAGUCUGGAUUUGGAGUGCCUCUUCUUGGUUCAGCCCAAAGACACAGACCCAAUCAGCUCUUGAAGAACUGGCUUAA
This 1095-nucleotide long non-coding RNA is filed under the name Monodelphis domestica (gray short-tailed opossum). RNAcentral describes it as "lncRNA (ENSMODG00000046233.1)". The record is from RNAcentral. Lineage: Eukaryota; Metazoa; Chordata; Mammalia; Didelphimorphia; Didelphidae.